GCACAGAGAGAUGAGCCACCCACUGCUGCCGUUUCUCUGGUCCACAAAGAAGUUGUGAAGUGGAUGAUCUGGCAGAAAACUCUAAUUUAGAAUGACCUCUAGCUUCUUCCGUGUGCAUCUCUCCACCACAGCCCCAAUCGCUGUGCCCUCUCCAGCUCCUCCGCUGAUGUAAACACAUUCACGCUGAGAGUCCCAUCUAUCUGGCUGGUGUGAUUACCAACAGGGAUUUCUGUGCUGGGCAAUGGCGUGGAGGGGGUCGGGAUGUUGGUCCGGGGUUUGCAGGAGAUGCGGAUGACCAGGAGGCAGAGGGUUAGCACCAGGCCGAAACACACCCCCAGCACGAAAUAAAGGCCGAAACUCUCCGGGUUUGCUGGAGAUGUUGCCCUUCCUCACGGCCUUGAAAAUAAA
This is a long non-coding RNA of Notolabrus celidotus (New Zealand spotty), 408 nucleotides long. RefSeq lists it as uncharacterized. The record is from RefSeq and is a predicted model, not a curated record. The transcript has 4 exons. NCBI's taxonomy places the organism in Eukaryota, Metazoa, Chordata, Actinopteri, Labriformes, Labridae.